UCAACUUCAAGACCGAUGACGGCGAGUCCCACGAAGUCGGCGGCAGGUAUCUCGAAGUCACGCCCUAUCAGCGGCUGAUCUUUAGCUGGGCAUGGCAUUCGACGCCGGAGCGUAUCUCGCAGGUGACUGUUGUGCUGCGCGAGGAAGGCGACGUCACGCUGCUCACGCUGACCCACGACAAGUUCUUCGAUGAGGCCGCGCGUGACGGCCACAAGCGUGGCUGGACCGGAACGCUCGACAAGCUUGAGAAGUUCUUCGCCUGAGAUCAACAACACCGUCGGCCGACGACGGCGGCAAUCAUGGAAACCACCAAAGGAGCUUGAAAUGCAGUAUGUCGACGGAUUUGUGUUGCCGGUGCCGAAGAAGAACAUCAAGGCCUACACGGCCCUGGCCAAGACCGCCUGCAAGGUCUGGCUCGAACACGGCGCCCUCGAUUACCGUGAAUGUGUCGCCGAAGACGUCAAACCCGGCAAGCU
Molecule: unclassified non-coding RNA, 476 nt
Filed under: Hevea brasiliensis (rubber tree)
Lineage: Eukaryota; Viridiplantae; Streptophyta; Magnoliopsida; Malpighiales; Euphorbiaceae
Source: RNAcentral